This 870-nucleotide ribosomal RNA is filed under the name Paracercospora egenula. RNAcentral describes it as "eukaryotic LSU rRNA". It matches the Rfam family "Eukaryotic large subunit ribosomal RNA", at positions 38 to 939 of the family's 3401-position model. Lineage: Eukaryota; Fungi; Ascomycota; Dothideomycetes; Mycosphaerellales; Mycosphaerellaceae. The record is from RNAcentral.
GCAUAUCAAUAAGCGGAGGAAAAGAAACCAACAGGGAUUGCCCUAGUAACGGCGAGUGAAGCGGCAACAGCUCAAAUUUGAAAUCUGGCGCAAGCCCGAGUUGUAAUUUGUAGAGGAUGCUUCUGGCCAGCGGCCGUUCUAAGUUCCUUGGAACAGGACGUCAUAGAGGGUGAGAAUCCCGUAUGUGACCGGCGCGCAGCCUUUACGUAGCUCCUUCGACGAGUCGAGUUGUUUGGGAAUGCAGCUCUAAAUGGGAGGUAAAUUUCUUCUAAAGCUAAAUACCGGCCAGAGACCGAUAGCGCACAAGUAGAGUGAUCGAAAGAUGAAAAGCACUUUGGAAAGAGAGUUAAAAAGCACGUGAAAUUGUUGAAAGGGAAGCGCUUGCAACCAGACUUCGUAGCGAUGUUCCGCUGGUCUUCUGACCGGUCUACUCAUCGUCGCGAGGCCAACAUCGUCUGGGCCCGCUGGAUAAGACCGGAGGAAUGUAGCUUCCCUCGGGAAGUGUUAUAGCCUGUGGUGAUGCAGCGUGGCUCGGGCGAGGUCCGCGCUUCGGCAAGGAUGUUGGCGUAAUGGUUGUCAGCGGCCCGUCUUGAAACACGGACCAAGGAGUCUAACAUCUAUGCGAGUGUUCGGGUGUCAAACCCCUACGCGUAAUGAAAGUGAACGGAGGUGGGAAGCGCAAGCUGCACCAUCGACCGAUCCUGAUGUCCUCGGAUGGAUUUGAGUAAGAGCAUAGCUGUUGGGACCCGAAAGAUGGUGAACUAUGCCUGAAUAGGGUGAAGCCAGAGGAAACUCUGGUGGAGGCUCGCAGCGGUUCUGACGUGCAAAUCGAUCGUCAAAUUUGGGUAUAGGGGCGAAAGACUAAUCGAA